This is a long non-coding RNA of Hydractinia symbiolongicarpus, 849 nucleotides long. RefSeq lists it as uncharacterized. NCBI's taxonomy places the organism in Eukaryota, Metazoa, Cnidaria, Hydrozoa, Anthoathecata, Hydractiniidae. The record is from RefSeq and is a predicted model, not a curated record. The transcript is spliced from 2 exons.
GUUUAUUUUACACAAUCAAAUUUUUGCGCACUUCUGAAAAUAAAUAUUAAAUGCGCAUAGAAUUUUCGUGCAGACAGAUGCGUAAAAAAAGAAUAGCUAAUUUCGUGGAACCAAUUGUUCGGAAAGCAGCUCCGGUGGAAAAAUAAGUGUGGGCGAAAAUUGUAUGAAUAAAGGUAUCACAAAAGGGAAAUGCAAAAUUUAAGCGAAGAAGAAAAAGCACAAAUCAUUUUUAUGGAACUUGUAAAAGAGGAAAGGGGAUAAGCGAGAAGAACAACACCAAACCAAUCUGUUCUGACAUUUGGCGAAAGAAAAUUGUGUGCGAAAGAAAAUUGUGUGCGAAAAGAGACGUGUGCAAUGUUAAUUUCAUAAUGUGUCUUAUUGUUCAUAUGAUCGUCUUGUGCGCAACCGUGACGAUAUACGCGUUAUAACAUAACUUUGUAUGUCCCAAGAGUGUAAUGUUGUAUGCUUUAUAACAGGAAUUUUAAGUUAGUUUUCGCAGUCUACAGAGAAACGACUUUGAGAGAAGCUCUCAUAAAAUCUGUUAGUAAAGUCUAACAUUUUAAAAUUACGAACGAAGGUUCACAACUUGCUCAAGCACUUGUAGCUAACACAAAAUAUAUGAUAUUGUGCGUAUCCUUGUAUGUUGAUCCUCUUGGCAGCCGUAACAUGCAAUAUGCGGAUGAAAAUUAUGAAUGCGCAAACUUCCAUUAAAAAUGGCGGAAAAGAAGAUCACGAAUUAGUAACGUCGAAUAGCUUUUGCUUUACUCUCAUGUCCUAUGUUUUUUUAUAAGAAUAACGUUUAUACGUAUAUACAGGCUCAGGUUUAGUAAAGAAAUAAACAUAUGGUAA